This 446-nucleotide ribosomal RNA is filed under the name uncultured bacterium. RNAcentral describes it as "partial 16S ribosomal RNA". It matches the Rfam family "Bacterial small subunit ribosomal RNA", at positions 338 to 795 of the family's 1533-position model. The record is from RNAcentral.
CCUACGGGAGGCUGCAGUCGAGAAUCAUUCACAAUGGGGGAAACCCUGAUGGUGCGACGCCGCGUGGGGGAAUGAAGGUCUUCGGAUUGUAAACCCCUGUCAUGUGGGAGCAAAUUAAAAAGAUAGUACCACAAGAGGAAGAGACGGCUAACUCUGUGCCAGCAGCCGCGGUAAUACAGAGGUCUCAAGCGUUGUUCGGAAUCACUGGGCGGAAAGCGUGCGUAGGCUGUUUCGUAAGUCGUGUGUGAAAGGCGCGGGCUCAACCCGCGGACGGCACAUGAUACUGCGAGAAUAGAGUAAUGGAGGGGGAACCGGAAUUCUCGGUGUAGCAGUGAAAUGCGUAGAUAUCGAGAGGAACACUCGUGGCGAAGGCGGGUUCCUGGACAUUAACUGACGCUGAGGCACGAAGGCCAGGGGAGCGAAAGGGAUUAGAUACCCUGGUAGUC